ACUCAAAGGAAUUGACGGGGGCCCGCACAAGCGGUGGAGCAUGUGGUUUAAUUCGACGCAACGCGCAGAACCUUACCAGCCCUUGACAUGUCCAGGACCGGUCGCAGAGAUGUGACCUUCUCUUCGGAGCCUGGAGCACAGGUGCUGCAUGGCUGUCGUCAGCUCGUGUCGUGAGAUGUUGGGUUAAGUCCCGCAACGAGCGCAACCCCCGUCCUUAGUUGCUACCAUUUAGUUGAGCACUCUAAGGAGACUGCCGGUGAUAAGCCGCGAGGAAGGUGGGGAUGACGUCAAGUCCUCAUGGCCCUUACGGGCUGGGCUACACACGUGCUACAAUGGCGGUGACAAUGGGAUGCAAAGGCGCGAGCCCUAGCAAAUCUCAAAAAGCCGUCUCAGUUCGGAUUGGGCUCUGCAACUCGAGCCCAUGAAGUUGGAAUCGCUAGUAAUCGUGGAUCAGCAUGCCACGGUGAAUACGUUCCCGGGCCUUGUACACACCGCCCGU
This 499-nucleotide ribosomal RNA is filed under the name uncultured bacterium. RNAcentral's name for it is "bacterial SSU rRNA". It matches the Rfam family "Bacterial small subunit ribosomal RNA", at positions 899 to 1397 of the family's 1533-position model. The record is from RNAcentral.